RNAcentral lists this ribosomal RNA (592 nucleotides) under uncultured bacterium. RNAcentral describes it as "partial 16S ribosomal RNA". It matches the Rfam family "Bacterial small subunit ribosomal RNA", at positions 355 to 1375 of the family's 1533-position model. The record is from RNAcentral.
UGGGGAAUUUUGGACAAUGGGCGAAAGCCUGAUCCAGCAAUGCCGCGUGUGUGAAGAAGGCCUUCGGGUUGUAAAGCACUUUUGUCCGGAAAGAAAUCCUUGGCUCUAAUACAGUCGGGGGAUGACGGUACCGGAAGAAUAAGCACCGGCUAACUACGUGCCAGCAGCCGCGGUAAUACGUAGGGUGCAAGCGUUAAUCGGAAUUACUGGGCGUAAAGCGUGCGCAGGCGGUUUGCUAAGACCGAUGUGAAAUCCCCGGGCUCAACCUGGGAACUGCAUUGGUGACUGGCAGGCUAGAGUAUGGCAGAGGGGGGUAGAAUUCCACGUGUAGCAGUGAAAUGCGUAGAGAUGUGGAGGAAUACCGAUGGCGAAGGCAGCCCCCUGGGCCAAAUACUGACGCUCAUGCACGAAAAGCGUGGGGAGCAAAACAGGAUUAGAUACCCUGGUAGUCCACGCCCUAAAACGAUGUCAACUAGUUAUUGGGGAUUCAUUUCCUUAGUAACGUAGCUAACGCGUGAAGUUGACCGCCUGGGGGAGUACGGUCGCAAAGAUUAAAAACUUAAAGGAAUUGACGGGGUCAUAGCUGUUUCCU